UACGUAGGGUGCGAGCGUUGUCCGGAAUUAUUGGGCGUAAAGAGCUCGUAGGCGGUGUGUCGCGUCGGCCGUGAAAACCUGUGGCUUAACCAUGGGCUUGCGGUCGAUACGGGCAUCACUGGAGUUCGGCAGGGGAGACUGGAAUUCCUGGUGUAGCGGUGAAAUGCGCAGAUAUCAGGAGGAACACCGGUGGCGAAGGCGGGUCUCUGGGCCGAUACUGACGCUGAGGAGCGAAAGCGUGGGGAGCGAACAGG
This 254-nucleotide ribosomal RNA is filed under the name uncultured bacterium. Its description in RNAcentral is "partial 16S ribosomal RNA". It matches the Rfam family "Bacterial small subunit ribosomal RNA", at positions 524 to 776 of the family's 1533-position model. The record is from RNAcentral.